RNAcentral lists this transfer RNA (61 nucleotides) under Hysteromorpha triloba. Its description in RNAcentral is "tRNA-Gln". The record is from RNAcentral. Lineage: Eukaryota; Metazoa; Platyhelminthes; Trematoda; Diplostomida; Diplostomidae.
UGUAAUCAGGUGUUUUAGCAUGUUCUGUUUUGGUCAGGGAGGGGAUUGAUCUCGAUUAUAA